GAGGAUUUGCCGUAAGAUCCUAACGCGAUCGUUUUAACACAAUCGCAGUCUGCUGGCGGGUCCGUCAACGGCCGUUCCAGGCAGAGGAGAAGGCUUGAUUGCGCCAAAGACUCCAGACAUCGAAUCCUUGCUCCGAGGGGAAAUCAUCGAAAACGACGGUGAAUGUCCGACAGGCACCCGCUAUUGGUAACACUGGACAAGUCGGAUAUCCUUGCUUGGAUCCUUUUAAAGUUGCCCGAUAAACUGCUGAGAGUUGAUCUCUCCUCUUGUCCAAAGGUUUUUCGUUCAUUUUUACUUGUAAUACUGGCACUAGGGUCGAUGUAGUAGCUCCACAACAUAACCUUAAAGCCUGUGACUGGAUCCGGUCUAUUUUCCCAAGUCAUGUUUUUGAAGCAGAUUGGUAAAUAAUGCAUCCGUAAUCAAUAACAGAUGGAAUUAAAGUUAUAAAUAUAUACAUGUAUUGUUUUCAACGUUAACCUAUCAGCCCCCCAAUCAUUACCCCUCAAAGCCCUCAUUAUAUUUAACACCUUUUUACUUUUUCCCCUAUUUUUUUAUUUUCCGGAAGGAACACUCCUGAAGGAAUAAAUAAAGUACUAUCUAAUCUAAUCUAAUCAAAUCUAUUUUGCUGAUGUGGGUUGACUAGUUCAUAUUUUUAUCAAACCAUAUUCCUAAAUAUUUAAAUACUUGUACCUCUUCUAUAUUUUCACCUUAGAGUUUUUAUUUGGAGCUUGUUUGGUACUUUUGUCUUUGUAAAAUGUAUGACUUUUGUCUUUCCAACAGAGAAUCUUAAACCUCAAGCCGUUCCCCAGUCUUGAACAUUAUUUACCACUUUGUUAGUUUUUUGAUUAUUUCUUUUGACUCUAAAUAAUAUACUAGUCUUUCAUUAAUCUUUUUUUUUUCCAUUACUUUUCCCCAAAUUUAUAAUUUCCUGCCUCUUCCGGGUCUUACCCUGACUUGCAUAUUGGAAUUGUUACCGCUAAUUUUCCCCUCUGCCGGUCAUUCUCCUUCUUCAUAUAUCCUGUCAUAUCAUUUCAAGACCACUUCUUUGACGAUGCCACCUAAGUUUUUGAUCAUUUGAUAACCCGCUAGGUCUUUCCCCGGUGACGUAUUUUUAACCUUUUUCAAAAUUCGAACCAUUUCAUUCAA
Molecule: long non-coding RNA, 1146 nt
Organism: Nerophis ophidion (straightnose pipefish)
Lineage: Eukaryota; Metazoa; Chordata; Actinopteri; Syngnathiformes; Syngnathidae
Exons: 3
Source: RefSeq, a predicted model, not a curated record